This 76-nucleotide transfer RNA is filed under the name Clostridium sp. Its description in RNAcentral is "tRNA-Gly". It matches the Rfam family "tRNA". From Rfam's summary of the family: Transfer RNA (tRNA) molecules are approximately 80 nucleotides in length. Their secondary structure includes four short double-helical elements and three loops (D, anti-codon, and T loops). Further hydrogen bonds mediate the characteristic L-shaped molecular structure. tRNAs have two regions of fundamental functional importance: the anti-codon, which is responsible for specific mRNA codon recognition, and the 3' end, to which the tRNAs corresponding amino acid is attached (by aminoacyl-tRNA synthetases). tRNAs cope with the degeneracy of the genetic code in two manners: having more than one tRNA (with a specific anti-codon) for a particular amino acid; and 'wobble' base-pairing, i.e. permitting non-standard base-pairing at the 3rd anti-codon position. Lineage: Bacteria; Bacillati; Bacillota; Clostridia; Eubacteriales; Clostridiaceae. RNAcentral also lists the same sequence under 4 other names. The record is from RNAcentral.
GCGGGUUUAGCUCAUCCGGUAGAGCGCCACCUUCCCAAGGUGGAUGUGGCGAGUUCGAGUCUCGUAACCCGCUCCA